This is a non-coding RNA of Nomia melanderi (Alkali bee), 742 nucleotides long. Lineage: Eukaryota; Metazoa; Arthropoda; Insecta; Hymenoptera; Halictidae. The record is from RefSeq and is a predicted model, not a curated record.
UUCAUUUCCAUAACUACUCUGCUUUAUUCAGAAAAAACCGUCCGUCAAUUAUUUACGUGGAACGUGAUGGAAAUAACACGUUGUCAAUCGUUUCAACGAACGACGCAAUUGUGUGUAUGGUGUCUGCCAAGGUCAUACGAUUGGAACAUCACUAUUUCAAUUUGACGAGCAUAUUUCAAUGCCUGUUAACGAUUGAAAUGGUUAAGAGUCCAGUUAUAUCGCGGCGCGAUCGUCGAGGUACGAGUGUCUGGCUUGUUGCAUGACGCAUUUGAGGUUAGGCGCACCUGCUCCAAGGAUUGGAGCGACGUGUUAGGUUAGAAAGUGCGAGUCAGACAAGGACGACCACUCGGCGGGAAUUUGGCGGUCGAAUUUGAAAUCGUGCGCCGGAUUUAAAUGUGUUCGACUUGUAAUUCCAUUUAUUAUUCACUGGCGCUUUACACACAUGGUUUUAAACCUUUGCGGUCCGAAGUGCUCUUGGUUUCUCACUUUGAGGUUCACGUCGACGUAGAGGUUGCAAGGAAAUAGAAUGUCGAGUCUGACUCGAGAUAGGACUGCUAAGGGUUAAACCUUUGCGGACGAGUGUCGACGUUUCGGCAAAAUGAAAUUUUCAUGUUCCAAAAACUCGCAAGCAAAUGUUUUAGUUACUCGAACAAGAGGGUUAAACGGCUCCUAAGGUUUUUCUCAGGCGACCCCGUUACAUUUUUUGCUAUUUCAUUGUUUCCUUGUCGUAGCUCAUAUUUAG